AUUUUAUAUGGAGGAGGAACAUUCUGGUUUGUACAGAGUACAGACCAAAUUUACCAGCUCAAAAUCAAGACUUUUAUAAGGACAAUGAGAAAUUGGUCGGAGUUUCUGUGGUUGUCAUCGAGGAUUCCGUGCCCCAGGUGAUCGGUCUUGGACAAAAACAGGAGGAAAAGGCUGACCAAGGGCCGGAAGAAAGAGGAGGGGAAAGUAGAAGAAGUUCCAUUUUUAUUUUAUUUUUUUAUUUUUUAUUUAAGUUUUUUUUGUUUAAUAUGGUAAAUAGAAAGUUAUCAUUUUGUCAUUUUAAAAUUGAUUAAAAAGUG
This 317-nucleotide long non-coding RNA is filed under the name Olea europaea (common olive). Its description in RNAcentral is "long non-coding RNA (OEUR_LNC003050)". The record is from RNAcentral. Lineage: Eukaryota; Viridiplantae; Streptophyta; Magnoliopsida; Lamiales; Oleaceae.